Molecule: non-coding RNA, 31 nt
Filed under: Homo sapiens (human)
Lineage: Eukaryota; Metazoa; Chordata; Mammalia; Primates; Hominidae
Source: RNAcentral
UCACAUCAUCUCAUGGGCCCCUUCUCCCUCU